GCGACUGUAGCUCAGUUGGUAGAGCCCACGAUUGUGGUUCGUGUUGUCGCGGGUUCGAGCCCCGUCAGUCGCCCCA
This 76-nucleotide transfer RNA is filed under the name Micavibrio sp. Its description in RNAcentral is "tRNA-His". It matches the Rfam family "tRNA". From Rfam's summary of the family: Transfer RNA (tRNA) molecules are approximately 80 nucleotides in length. The record is from RNAcentral. Lineage: Bacteria; Pseudomonadati; Bdellovibrionota; Bdellovibrionia; Bdellovibrionales; Pseudobdellovibrionaceae.